This 70-nucleotide transfer RNA is filed under the name Marmota monax (woodchuck). Its description in RNAcentral is "tRNA.Ala". It matches the Rfam family "tRNA", at positions 6 to 65 of the family's 71-position model. Rfam says of the family: Transfer RNA (tRNA) molecules are approximately 80 nucleotides in length. Their secondary structure includes four short double-helical elements and three loops (D, anti-codon, and T loops). Further hydrogen bonds mediate the characteristic L-shaped molecular structure. tRNAs have two regions of fundamental functional importance: the anti-codon, which is responsible for specific mRNA codon recognition, and the 3' end, to which the tRNAs corresponding amino acid is attached (by aminoacyl-tRNA synthetases). tRNAs cope with the degeneracy of the genetic code in two manners: having more than one tRNA (with a specific anti-codon) for a particular amino acid; and 'wobble' base-pairing, i.e. permitting non-standard base-pairing at the 3rd anti-codon position. The record is from RNAcentral. Lineage: Eukaryota; Metazoa; Chordata; Mammalia; Rodentia; Sciuridae.
GGAUUGUGGCUCAGCGGUAGAGCGCUUGCCUAGCACGCGUGAGAGGCCCUGGGUUCGAUCCUCAGCACCA